GAUGAAGAACGUAGCGAAAUGCGAUAAGUAGUGUGAAUUGCAGAAUUCAGUGAAUCAUCGAAUCUUUGAACGCACAUUGCGCCCCUUGGUAUCCCGAGGGGCAUGCCUGUUCGAGCGUCAUUUCACCACUCAAGCCUGGCUUGGUGUUGGGCGACGUCCCCUUUAGGGACGCGCCUCGAAACGCUCGGCGGCGUGGCACCGGCUUUAAGCGUAGCAGAAUCCUUCGCUUUGGAAGUCGGGGCCCCGCCUGCCGGAAUACCUACUCGUAAGGUUGACCUCGGAUCAGGCAGGGAUACCCGCUGAACUUAAGCAUAUCAAUAAGCGGAGGA
This 329-nucleotide unclassified non-coding RNA is filed under the name soil metagenome. RNAcentral describes it as "partial contains 5.8S ribosomal RNA, internal transcribed spacer 2, and large subunit ribosomal RNA". The stretch from base 1 to 120 matches the Rfam family "5.8S ribosomal RNA", at positions 35 to 154 of the family's 154-position model. The record is from RNAcentral.